GGCUCAGGAUGAACGCUAGCGGCAGGCUUAACACAUGCAAGUCGAGGGGUAGAGGAAGCUUGCUUCCUUGAGACCGGCGCACGGGUGCGUAACGCGUAUGCAACCUACCUUUUACAGAGGGAUAGCCCAGAGAAAUUUGGAUUAAUACCUCAUGGUAUAUAUCAUUCGCAUGUUUGAUAUAUUAAAGUUCCAACGGUACAGGAUGGGCAUGCGUCCCAUUAGCUAGAUGGUAAGGUAACGGCUUACCAUGGCAACGAUGGGUAGGGGGCCUGAGAGGGUGGUCCCCCACACUGGUACUGAGACACGGACCAGACUCCUACGGGAGGCAGCAGUGAGGAAUAUUGGUCAAUGGGCGCAAGCCUGAACCAGCCAUGCCGCGUGCAGGAAGACGGUCCUAUGGAUUGUAAACUGCUUUUAUUUGGGAAUAAACCUAUUUACGUGUAGAUAGCUGAAGGUACCAAAUGAAUAAGCACCGGCUAACUCCGUG
RNAcentral lists this ribosomal RNA (487 nucleotides) under uncultured bacterium. Its description in RNAcentral is "bacterial SSU rRNA". It matches the Rfam family "Bacterial small subunit ribosomal RNA", at positions 21 to 507 of the family's 1533-position model. The record is from RNAcentral.